CGGGGCUGGAGAUCAGGCAGAGGGAGGAGACUAAAAUGCAGGAAGUAAAACGCUGACAGCCAGAAAAUAUCCAGAAAAUAACUGAAAGAAUGCCAACAAAGCUCUGAGGCACCAUGUUAGGAAGGUGACUAGGAAUUUGACAGAGACAGCUGAUCCUGCUCCAUCUGACUCCCUACCUGAAGCCCUAUCCAUCGCAAGGAGCAAGAAAAUGGAGAUGCCAAGACCAGGUGCCAUAAAUGCCAAUAAUUAGCAAA
Esox lucius (northern pike) is the source of this 254-nucleotide long non-coding RNA. RefSeq lists it as uncharacterized. Lineage: Eukaryota; Metazoa; Chordata; Actinopteri; Esociformes; Esocidae. The record is from RefSeq and is a predicted model, not a curated record. The transcript has 3 exons.